RNAcentral lists this ribosomal RNA (478 nucleotides) under uncultured bacterium. Its description in RNAcentral is "partial 16S ribosomal RNA". It matches the Rfam family "Bacterial small subunit ribosomal RNA", at positions 28 to 507 of the family's 1533-position model. The record is from RNAcentral.
GAUGAACGCUAGCGGCAGGCCUAACACAUGCAAGUCGAGGGAGAAGCCCUUUCGGGGGCAGAAACCGGCGCACGGGUGCGUAACGCGUAUGCAACCUACCUUUCACAGGGGGAUAGCCCGAAGAAAUUUGGAUUAAUACCCCAUAAUAUUAUUGGAUGGCAUCAUUUGAUAAUUAAAACUGCGGUGGUGAAAGAUGGGCAUGCGUCCUAUUAGCUAGUUGGAGUGGUAACGGCACCCCAAGGCUACGAUAGGUAGGGGUCCUGAGAGGGCGAUCCCCGACAUGGGAGGUGGGGCAGGGACAAGAGGACUGCGGCAGGCAGCAGUGAGGAAUAUGGGGCAGCGGUGGGGAGUCUUAAGCAACGAUGCCACGUGUAAGAAGGAUGCAUUGUGUGUUGUAUGCUGCUUUUAGAAGAGAAGAAUAAGGCGUACGUGUACGUUGAUGACGGUACCAUAUGAAUAAGCACCGGCUAACUCCGUG